This 449-nucleotide ribosomal RNA is filed under the name uncultured bacterium. RNAcentral describes it as "partial 16S ribosomal RNA". It matches the Rfam family "Bacterial small subunit ribosomal RNA", at positions 29 to 523 of the family's 1533-position model. The record is from RNAcentral.
AGCGAACGCUGGCGGCAGGCCUAACACAUGCAAGUCGAACGAAGUCUUCGGACUUAGUGGCGGACGGGUGAGUAACACGUGGGAACGUGCCUUUAGGUUCGGAAUAACUCAGGGAAACUUGUGCUAAUACCGAAUGUGCCCUUCGGGGGAAAGAUUUAUCGCCUUUAGAGCGGCCCGCGUCUGAUUAGCUAGUUGGUGGGGUAAUGGCCCACCAAGGCUACGAUCAGUAGCUGGUCUGAGAGGAUGGCCAGCCACAUUGGGACUGAGACACGGCCCAAACUCCUACGGGAGGCAGCGGUGGGGAAUCUUGCGCAAUGGGCGAAAGCCUGGCGCAGCCAUGCCGCGUGGAUGAUGAAGGUCUUAGGAUUGUAAAAUCCUUUCACCGGUGAAGAUAAUGACUGUAGCCGGAGAAGAAGCCCCGGCUAACUUCGUGCCAGCCGCCGCAGUAA